CAGGUUUUCCUAAUAAAGCAUGUAGAGGUCUGUACUUUUUAUCAUAGGUACACUUCAACUGUGAGACACGGAAUCUAAAACAAAAAUCCAGAAUCACAUUGUAUGAUUUUUACACCCUCAUCCUCAACCAGGUUGAACCCCCGAUAUCCCCCACCACCCAGGGGACCAGCUUCUCCCCCAUCCUCAACCAGGUUGAACACCCAAUAUCCCCCACCACCCAGGAGACCAGCCACACCCUCAUCCUCAACCAGGGUAAACCCCUGAUAUCCCCCACCACCCAGGAGACCAGCUUCACCCACACCAAACCAAAGAAGACGGGGAGAAAGUCCUGUCUCCCUGUCACCCUCAAAAAACCCUCCAACUCGCUGAGCAUGACACAGUCAACCCCAUCCAACCCCAUCCUACCCCGACCAAGGAAGAGGAAAUAUGACUACAUGCAUAAAGUGUCCAGUGCAUCCGGGGCAAACGAUUUUCCCUAUUCUCAAGAUUCUUGCCAAUAGACCUUCAAAGGAGGGCCAACAUGGAUGGUGCUUGUCAGGCAACCACAUAUCACCUCUGGUACAUCCAAUGGGGGAACUUUGCAGGUGUAGAGACAUCGCUGUCUUCGUAGUGAAGCUGUUUCGGCAGAGUCUCUACAUCACAGAAUAGCCCUUUUCACAUUGCAUGACUGACAGAUCUUCUGAGAAACAUGCUCUGCAGCCAGCAGAGAAUCUACAAUCUCAGGCCUGGACUCCCUCCUGUGAGAGUUCCUUCCUCACACUCCAACUGUGUGAUGAUGCACCAGGCACAGUAGGAUUUGAACACUCAGGGUCUUCUAAGUC
Long non-coding RNA from Oncorhynchus tshawytscha (Chinook salmon), 821 nucleotides. The record is from Ensembl. Lineage: Eukaryota; Metazoa; Chordata; Actinopteri; Salmoniformes; Salmonidae.